This 253-nucleotide ribosomal RNA is filed under the name uncultured bacterium. RNAcentral describes it as "partial 16S ribosomal RNA". It matches the Rfam family "Bacterial small subunit ribosomal RNA", at positions 524 to 776 of the family's 1533-position model. The record is from RNAcentral.
UACGGGUGGGGCAAGCGUUGUUCGGAAUUACUGGGCGUAAAGGGCUCGUAGGCGGCCAACUAAGUCGGAUGUGAAAUCCCCAGGCUUAACCUGGGAACUGCAUCCGAUACUGGAUGGCUUGAAUCCGGGAGAGGGAUGCAGAAUUCCAGGUGUAGCGGUGAAAUGCGUAGAUAUCUGGAGGAAUACCGGUGGCGAAGGCGGCAUCCUGGACCGGCAUUGACGCUGAUGAGCGAAAGCUAGGGGAGCAAACGGG